GGCCCCGUGGCCGGGUGGUUAAGUUCGCGCGCUCCGCUGCAGGCGGCCCAGUGUUUCGUUGGUUCGAAUCCUGGGCGCGGACAUGACACUGCUCAUCAAACCACGCUGAGGCAGCGUCCCACAUGCCACAACUAGAAGGACCCACAACGAAGAAUAUACAACUAUGUACCGGGGGGGCUUUGGGGAGAAAAAUGAAAAAAUAAAAUCUUUAAAAAAAAAAAGAGCAAUUUCAGUGCACCGGUGGGAGUGAAAAUCGGCUUAAGGUGGAUCCGAGAAUGAACUAGGGAGAGAAAUUGGAGACGGCUGGUAUAAAUGACCAAUUCAAGGAGUUCUACAGGAAAAGGACAGAGAAAUGAGGAAACUGAGUCCUGAAGAUGCUGAGUGACUUCAUCAAGAUCAGAUGGCAAACACACAGACAUGGAGAACAGAUUUGUGG
RNAcentral lists this long non-coding RNA (436 nucleotides) under Equus caballus (horse). RNAcentral's name for it is "lncRNA (ENSECAG00000047429.1)". The record is from RNAcentral. Lineage: Eukaryota; Metazoa; Chordata; Mammalia; Perissodactyla; Equidae.